Molecule: ribosomal RNA, 254 nt
Filed under: uncultured bacterium
Lineage: Bacteria
Description: partial 16S ribosomal RNA
Rfam family: Bacterial small subunit ribosomal RNA
Source: RNAcentral
UACGAAGGGUGCAAGCGUUACUCGGAAUUACUGGGCGUAAAGCGUGCGUAGGUGGUUCGUUAAGUCAGGUGUGAAAUCUCCACGCUCAACGUGGAGGCGCCACCUGAAACUGCCGUGACUCGAGUCCGGUAGGGGAGUGUGGAAUUCCUGGUGUAGCGGUGAAAUGCGCAGAUAUCAGGAGGAACACCAGUGGCGAAGGCGGCACUCUGGGCCGGUACUGACGCUGAGGCGCGAAAGCUAGGGGAGCAAACAGG